UUGGUUGGUCAGCCAGAGAGACAAAGGGCAGGGAGAUCUGGAGCCUUCAAUAAAUCCUGCAGUGAGAGAGACGAAGCAGCACAUGCCAGGGAUGGAAACUUGGAUUUUCCAGAUGUCUGUGGUGGUACUCAGUGCCAUUUUUAAUCCUCACUGCAUCAGUCUAAUUUCCCAUUUUGUCCAUUCCUCUAUCUCCUCGAGGUACUCAAUUAACUUCCCAGCUGCUGGGUGUCUCGUCCAUCACCACAUUGAAGAUGGUUGGUCAGCCAGAGAGACAAAGGGCAGGGAGAUCUAGAGCCUUCAAUAAAUCCUGCAGUGAGAUGGCAAUGGUAAUGACUGCGGAUGGUGCUAACUGAGGAAAUGUCAAUGUAUUCAUACCUGCUGCUGAGUGUCGGUGGUGGAGUGAGGGAGUCGUUGUGGAUGUGGACUUUUUGAUAGUGGAAUCACUGACAUCUGUCCAUUACUUGCUGCUGGUGCUGUCAGAAUACAAGUCGUCCCGCUUUGCAGCAGAAAGCAGUAAGAGUUUUGCCAGGUUGUCCCUCAUCUCGUGGUCUGGCUGGUGAUGCUCCCAGCAUGUUCUUCUGCAUUCAACACUAACCGAGUUACUGUAGAGUGGGAGAUAUAUUGGGCCGUGAUGGUUACUGGAGAGUGGGAGGUAGGUUGGGCUGUGAUGGUUACUGUACAGUGGGAGGUAUGUGGGCCCGUGAUAGUUACUGUACUGAGGGUAGUAUGUCAGGCCGUUAUGGUUUCUGUACAGUUGGAGGUAUGUGGGGCCAUGAUGACUACUGGUCAUUGGGAGGUAUAUGGGGCCGUGAUAGUUACUGUACAGCGGGAGGUAUGUCGGGCUGUGAUGGUUACUGUACAGUGGGAGGUAAGUCGGGCCGUGAUGUUUACUGUACAGUGGGAGGUAUGUCGGGCCGUUUCGAUUCCUGUACAGUGGGAGGUAUGUGAGGUCGUGAUGGUUACUGUGCAGUGGGACAUAUAUCGGGCAUUGCUGGUUACUGUAUAGUGGGAGGCAUCUCGAUCCAGGAAGUUGCAGACUCUGAGUUGUACAGAAUAUGAUUGCGUUGCUGCCGAUGAGCCAUUGUACCUCAUGGAUGCAUCGUCAUUGAUUGCUUAAUCUGUUUAAAUCUGUACCAUUCAGUAUGUCAUGGUGAGGAGGGUCUACAAAAUGUGAAGUUAGCCCUUGCUUCCCAUAAGGACUGUGCAGUGAACAUUGUUACCGAUAUAUGAAAUGGAGGGGUGUAUCUGCAGCAGGCAGAUCAGUGAUGAUAUGGUCAAUUAUAGGUUUCCCUUUUAUUGGUUCCCCAUAACCUGCCACAGAGGAGUCUAGCAGCCAUAGGAUCCUGCAUCAAUGCUGAGCACUAUCAUUACAUUAGAUUCCAUACAGUGUGGGAACAGACCCUUCGGCCUAACCAGUUCACACCAACCCUCUGAAGAGCACCCACUACCAUGGCCAAUUCACCUGAACUGCAUUUCUUUAGACUGUGGGAGGAAAACCACGCAGACACAGGGAGAAUGUGUAAAUUCCACACAGGCAGUUGCCCGAGGUUGAAAUCAAAUCUGGGUCCCUGAUGCGUUGAGGCAGCAGUGCUAACCACUGAGCCAUCAUGCGGCCCUAUACUGACUAUAUACCAAGGAGCUGCCCUCUUCUGCCUGGUCGUGCCCUUUCGGGGGACAGAACCUCCCAGAGAUGAUGGUGAUGUUACCUAGGACAUAGUCCUGAUCGCAUAAUCUUGCUUUCCAGACAAUAUCUGAUUGUUGCUUGAUUAGUCUGUGGGAAAUAUACAACAGGUCACUUUUACACUUUGUAUAAUGAAGAGUUAAUAUCACUUUAUUUCUUACAUAUUUUAAA
This is a long non-coding RNA of Hemiscyllium ocellatum (epaulette shark), 1852 nucleotides long. RefSeq lists it as uncharacterized. The record is from RefSeq and is a predicted model, not a curated record. The transcript is spliced from 3 exons. NCBI's taxonomy places the organism in Eukaryota, Metazoa, Chordata, Chondrichthyes, Orectolobiformes, Hemiscylliidae.